UUCACACUAGAAAUAAUGGAAUCUGUGUCUUUUAAAAAGUUCAGUUUUUGACUAGCCUGUCCACAUUACAUUGUAUCAUGUUUAGAUUCAACAGGUUUGUCAGCGAUGAAACCAUUUUUCAGCAAGACUGCGUGAGUCUCAACUUUGGAUUGUGGCUAGGGUAGCAUAAACAAAAAUAUUUAACUCACCAAGCUCAGAGUUGAGAGGUG
Molecule: non-coding RNA, 209 nt
Organism: Pelobates cultripes (western spadefoot toad)
Lineage: Eukaryota; Metazoa; Chordata; Amphibia; Anura; Pelobatidae
Source: the annotation of a GenBank genome assembly